AUUGAACGCUGGCGGCAGGCUUAACACAUGCAAGUCGAGCGGAUGAAGGGAGCUUGCUCUUGGAUUCAGCGGCGGACGGGUGAGUAAUGCCUAGGAAUGUGCCUGGUAGUGGGGGAUAACGUCCGGAAACGGGCGCUAAUACCGCAUACGACCUGAGGGAGAAAGUGGGGGAUCUUCGGACCUCGCGCUAUCAGAUGAGCCUAGGGCGGAUUAGCUAGUUGGUGGGGUAAAGGCCUACCAAGGCGACGAUCCGUAACUGGUCUGAGAGGAUGAUCAGCCACACUGGAACUGAGACACGGUCCAGACUCCUACGGGAGGCAGCAGUGGGGAAUAUUGGACAAUGGGCGAAAGCCUGAUCCAGCCAUGCCGCGUGUGUGAAGAAGGUCUUCGGAUUGUAAAGCACUUUAAGUUGGGAGGAAGGGCAGUAAGUUAAUACCUUGCUGUUUUGACGUUACCCGCAGAAUAAGCACCGGCUAACUUCGUG
Molecule: ribosomal RNA, 484 nt
Filed under: uncultured bacterium
Lineage: Bacteria
Description: partial 16S ribosomal RNA
Rfam family: Bacterial small subunit ribosomal RNA
Source: RNAcentral